Molecule: ribosomal RNA, 570 nt
Filed under: uncultured bacterium
Lineage: Bacteria
Description: partial 16S ribosomal RNA
Rfam family: Bacterial small subunit ribosomal RNA
Source: RNAcentral
UGGGGAAUAUUGGACAAUGGGCGGAAGCCUGAUCCAGCAACGCCGCGUGAGGGAUGACGGCCUUCGGGUUGUAAACCUCUUUCAGUACCGACGAAGCGGAAGUGACGGUAGGUACAGAAGAAGCACCGGCCAACUACGUGCCAGCAGCCGCGGUAAUACGUAGGGUGCGAGCGUUGUCCGGAAUUAUUGGGCGUAAAGGGCUCGUAGGCGGUUUGUCGCGUCGGGAGUGAAAACACUGGGCUUAACUCAGUGCUUGCUUCCGAUACGGGCAGACUAGAGGCAUGCAGGGGAGAACGGAAUUCCUGGUGUAGCGGUGAAAUGCGCAGAUAUCAGGAGGAACACCGGUGGCGAAGGCGGUUCUCUGGGCAUGUCCUGACGCUGAGGAACGAAAGUGUGGGGAGCGAACAGGAUUAGAUACCCUGGUAGUCCACACCGUAAACGUUGGGCGCUAGGUGUGGGGGCCUAUUCCAUGGGUUCCGUGCCGCAGCUAACGCAUUAAGCGCCCCGCCUGGGGAGUACGGCCGCAAGGCUAAAAACUCAAAUGAAUUGACGGGGUCAUAGCUGUUUCCU